CAGUAGCCGCGGGAAUACAGAGGAUGCAAGCGUUAAUCGGAAUUACUGGGCGUAAAGCGGGCGCAGACGGUUACUUAAGCAGGAUGUGAAAUCCCCGGGCUCAACCUGGGAACUGCGUUCUGAACUGGGUAACUAGAGUGUGUCAGAGGGAGGUAGAAUUCCACGUGUAGCAGUGAAAUGCGUAGAGAUGUGGAGGAAUACCGAUGGCGAAGGCAGCCUCCUGGGAUAACACUGACGUUCAUGCCCGAAAGCGUGGGUAGCAAACAGGAUUAGAUACCCCGGUAGUCCCUGUCUCUUAUAC
RNAcentral lists this ribosomal RNA (301 nucleotides) under uncultured bacterium. RNAcentral's name for it is "partial 16S ribosomal RNA". It matches the Rfam family "Bacterial small subunit ribosomal RNA", at positions 509 to 807 of the family's 1533-position model. The record is from RNAcentral.